UGCUGGGAUUACAGGUGUGAGCCACUGCGCCCGGCCUGGGGAAUCCCAUUCUUAUGAUGUGAUCACCCAGUGUCCCUGUGUCAGACCUCUGGUGCCAAGAGAGACCUUAGAGAUCACCUGAUCCCACGCCUUCAUUUUACAGAUGGAGGAACUGAGGCUCAGGGAGGUGAUUUUUUCCAAGGUCACCUGCCUAGGCUUCCUGGAGCCAGCUCUGUGCUCUUCUAAAACCACCACUUACUUUCCAAUGGAGGGAGGUGACGUGUCGAGCACCUCUCACCUCUAUUAGCCAGCCUGGUGUCUCCUGAAAAGCAGCGAGCAUGUGCAUGUGUGCACUGAUAAUAUGUACCCCUGCAAGUCAGAGAGGGCACGUGCACACCUACGCGUCUUUGCAAACUGCUGGACAUCAUCUGCUGCAGAUGCAGAGGUCCUGCUCUGUGACCCACACUCUGAGCUCUAAGGAGAAGGAAACACACCCACACCCACACCCUUGAGAACUCACCACAGGGAAGAGUCCACGGAGGCAGACCCAGAACGGAGUGCAGAGAGCAAUGGGAACCGCCUGGGAAUUGUUCUCAAUUGUGUCCUCACGCCCACACACUGACCUCCCGGGGCUCUGCAGCCAGGCUCCCUGUGCCUUCCUCGCCCCGGGGAGAGUCUGAACUCCCAGAAUGCGUGUGUGUGCAUCCCCUGCCCCUGCAGAAGACUCUCAACGGAUCCAGCUAAGUCACCAGCCCAAACGCAAGCCCAAGUCUUGGCGUGACAGGGGCAUUCAGCACUCACAGUUUAUCUGUGGAGAAGAAUCCCAGGCACUGGGUUUCAGAAUCAAGGGCACUAGUGCGGAGGAAGUCUCCAUCAGCCCUCACCUGACUCCUGGCGCUGUGGGUCCCUGAGGGCCCCAGGCAGCUCACCAAUUCUCUGCUUCCCAUGGAUGCUUGUGGUUACUGGCUGACCUCAGUGUCUCUCCCCAGGAUAACAGGACUAGGGGAGUCUCCCUUCACAGUUUGAAAGCACCUUAGUUCCUCCUACUGUCUCAAACCUCUCCAUGGGCGCUGGCAGACCUGCUAUGAUUUUCAUCCUACAGAUGAGGCCCCAGAGGCUUGAGGGUGAAUGGUGCUCAAGGGUGAGGUCUCUCUGAGGCUGGUGCCCUCCCCACACCCGGGGCACUGCCUGACAGCUAUCCCCCAAGACCCCACUCCCUUCAGCCACUGGGACUUCCCUCCCAAUGCAGGCCGUGUGUGCCCUGCUCCUGUGCAGCGGCAGGACAGGUUUCCAAAAACCAACGGCAAAGUUUCCUGAAAGGCUCUGGCUUCCAGGACUCUUGGCAGGGCUCUGCCCAGGAAGCAAUGAGCUGGCACUUUCCUGGCUGUGUGCUUAUAGCUGACCCUGGCCUCAGAGGCCUUCCUCUCCUUAUCAGGAAAGGAUGCCAAGGAGGAGGGAGGAGGCUCUGGGGAGAGUCCAGGCCUUUGUGUGAACCAUCCUAAGGGAAGUGGAUGCUUCUGAGCAGCCCUGCCCGGCUCUGGGCCUUGCCCGCCCUCAUCUUCAGCAGGGCUUUGGCACUGGAAAGAAUGAGCUUCAGCUCCUGAGCCUUGCAGGAGUCAGAGGUCAGCAGAUUCCAGGGCUCAGCCUUUCCGCCUCAGUCAGAAACUCUCAGCAGACCAAAGGCCUGGGCUACAGUCCACUGAGAGUUUUUGACCAAGGCAGAAAUUCUUCUCCACAGAUAAACUGUGAGAUAAACUGGGUGGGGACAUCAGCAGCCUCCUCUCUGACGGGCAAAGUUCUUGGGGCCUGCCAUGUGACCACCCAGCCUGGACUCCCUGCCAACACACACACAAAACAAGGCCCCUGCUAGACCCCAGUGCCUGGGCCCAGCUACUGGGCUGGCUUCUCUGCUGGUGUCCAAGGCUCACAGAUUCCUGUUCUGCUUUCCCUCCAGACAUCCUCUCUGGUCUUCCUGGUCUACCCUCAGGCACACAGGCCUCUCCUCCCCUUAUGCCUCUGUCAGCUCUCUCCUCUGCCUGGACCGCUCUCCCCUCAUCCCUCAGCCCCAGCUCUCCCCUCAAUCCCUGGGAUGCCUGUAUGGACCUCCCGGAGGGCUGGUCCCUCUGUCCCACGCCCUGGACUUCUCUGCAGCACUCCUCAUGGCCACCGUGACUCUCUUGGGGGUGAUCCGUUGACUCACUCCGGCUGCAGGAGGGCUGGGACAGUGCCUGCUGCCUGUGUGCUGGCCAGACACAGUGGGAGUGCCCGCCCAUGCUUACUGGGGAAGCAGAGACAAUGGAAUGUUUUAGCAGGAUUGGGGUCUUCAGAAGGUACUUCCAUGAGGUCCUGCAUACAGCUGGGGUAGGAGGAGGCAGUUUAGGGCCUGGACGAUGUGGGGCUGACAUGAGAGAACAGGCCAGGGUAGGGUGCUGGGCAGGUGGGUCAGAGGGGCAGUCGUCCGCCUGGUACACAAUGUCUUAUAUAUGUUUGCAGGGGUGAAAAGAGACCUGUUCAGGGGCAGUGCCCAGUGAGGAGACCCUCAAACGAGAGGCAGAGUCCCUCAAGCCUUUGUACAAUGCCACCAAGGGUGCUGCCCCUUCUUCAACAGAACGUCCUCCUUGCAGGGAGGCUGCAGUGAUGUCAGAGAUGAAUCACAGGCCAGAGGUGAGAGCUGGAGAAAGGGAAACUCUCCCAGUCCCUGGGAGUGGUCAUUACAGACUGGGAAAUCGCUCUCCAGCUGAUGGUAAAGGACUGCAAAUCCUAUUCAUGUGACUCAGGGCCUGGUGUGCCUUCUGGGAAGAAAGCAGAAGAGGGUUCCUAACUGUAGAAGGGAAAAGUUUCCCUUUAUUCUUCCAGCCACGUGGUUCAAUAAGCAUGUACAAGCUCUUACCAGGGCCAGGCACUGUGCGGGCACCAGAAACAUUAAGAUGGAAUGACACAGGUCUGCCCUGGAAGAAACAUUAAGAUGGAAUGACACAGGUCUGCCCUGGAAGGGCUCCUUUCCAGGGCUCAGGGACUCUGUGACUCCUUUUGGGGAGCAGAGUUGUGGACAAGAGUGCAUUUUUCUAGAGAGAUGGUCCACAAGCCAUCCAGAGCCAGGCUCUGUCUCCAGGUACCCUUGAUCCUUGGAGACCUCCCUCAGGUCCUGGCUUUCUUUUUGGAUUCAGGAUUUCCCUGUGUUCCCCAGGCUGGAGGGCAGUGGCUUACUGCCGCCUCCACCUCCUGGGCUCA
RNAcentral lists this long non-coding RNA (3210 nucleotides) under Homo sapiens (human). RNAcentral describes it as "HSALNT0314797". Lineage: Eukaryota; Metazoa; Chordata; Mammalia; Primates; Hominidae. The record is from RNAcentral.